GACCGCCCGAUAGGUAGGAGAUUGUCCGCAUCACGACGGUUGAAAACCGAACGGACUCAAUCUAUGUGAGUACAGUGCAGGACAACAAAUAUGUAUAGAAUGAAAAUUGACCUUUGAAUCUUCCAUUUAGACCAAAACUUCCGCAUGACAUUUUUGAGUUUAGCAAAGCCAUCUUGACUAGGAAACCUUGACCGAUUGAACCCUUGAAAAAGGUCCCAUACGGACCGAAACGUCGGGAAAAAUCAUAAA
Molecule: long non-coding RNA, 249 nt
Organism: Aedes albopictus (Asian tiger mosquito)
Lineage: Eukaryota; Metazoa; Arthropoda; Insecta; Diptera; Culicidae
Exons: 2
Source: RefSeq, a predicted model, not a curated record